Molecule: long non-coding RNA, 686 nt
Filed under: Anas platyrhynchos (mallard)
Lineage: Eukaryota; Metazoa; Chordata; Aves; Anseriformes; Anatidae
Description: lncRNA (ENSAPLG00020003005.1)
Source: RNAcentral
AUGCUUUUGCUUCACGCAAUCUUCACAUCUAAAGAGGUUGCUGCUGUUAAGCACUUCCACAACUUAGACACACAAAGAAAUGGGAACCCUUUGCAGCCAGUAGUGGAACAUGAGCGUGGACCCUUCAGGCUUUGUCUGAUUUCUUCCUGUUUCUCUGACAUGUUGCUAAAUCAUGGCAAUGGAAGAGCUCAUCUCCAGGCUGCCAAACCCAUGCUGCCUUCCAGGUUAGACCUAAACAGACAUCAACAUACUUAGAGCUGCUCACUUUAGUCAGCAAGGCAGGAUCCCAUUCUUGGGAUUAUAGCCUGACUAUGGAUUGGGAGUAUGGGAGAAAUUUCUAAAGGGGCUGCAAAAAGGGAAUAGUCUUAAGGCUACAGCAAAGCUGUGAAGCUGCAAUGGUCCUGAAUUGUAGGAUUUGGGGUUGGCAAGCUGAUUAUUCAGCUCUGCAGCACUCAGACCCCAACCGUGAACGUCAUAGGAACUUUGAUGUUUUUAAUGUUGUCCAUGGCUGUGCUGUAGUAGGCAGGACUGACCCUUUUAUGCUCUCACAGGUCUUUUUUUUUUCUGACAGUUUUAUGGGCAUAAAUAGAUAAAAAUCUUCAUUUUAGGAAAAGCAUAUAUUUAGGAAUUUUAGGAUACUAAUUUCAUGUUGCCCUAGAGCAUUUUCUGCAAAUGUUAGCAUGCAC